UUUCAGCACCUCCUGUUUCACCCCCUCCUGUUUCACCUCUUGUUUCCCCACAUCCUUUUUUUACUGUGGGAGUGAUUGUUGGAAUCGGGAUCGGGGCCUUGGCUGGCACUGUGCUGAUCGGAGUCCUGGUUUACUACUUUGUCCGUCGCUUUAAGCAGGGAGCGGACCAGGGGGUAUCGAUGUCUUCCCCAUCCCCACCAGUUUAAGCAGAUGAAAAAAAAUGAGCUUGAAAUUGUCAACAAAAACCAGGAAGCCGUUUUUGAUACGUAGCCGCCGUUGACAGUAAUGCUAAAGAAACUGUUGCCUCUGAAAAGAAGAAGAAUAUUUUCAAGUAACUGGGAGACACACUGACACUUUUUAAAAUAGAUAUUUUGUACGUUGAGAAUGUUGUCAUACCCUAUUUUUUCCCUUUGCUCCGAGGAGCACCCCAGAUUGUCUGGGAAUAUAUAUUCUGUGCUUUCAGGAACCAGUUUAGUAUUGAACUACGUGCUGUUUGGGGAGAAUAUAAAGUAGAACGCGGUUCUGUACAAGCAUGAAAGUUUUGUGUUUGAGUUUCUUCCCUACCCUUUGUGAUUGUACUUCUACUAAAGCAACACAAACCACUGGCAAUUAACAUCCUCUUCUUUGGAAGUAAAGUUCAUAGGGAAGCUUCUGCAACUCUGCAGAACUCCUCAUAGAUGGUGUAAUUAAAUGUAUAGAUAUAA
Molecule: long non-coding RNA, 704 nt
Organism: Sphaerodactylus townsendi
Lineage: Eukaryota; Metazoa; Chordata; Lepidosauria; Squamata; Sphaerodactylidae
Exons: 3
Source: RefSeq, a predicted model, not a curated record